RNAcentral lists this ribosomal RNA (465 nucleotides) under Vreelandella stevensii. RNAcentral describes it as "partial 16S ribosomal RNA". It matches the Rfam family "Bacterial small subunit ribosomal RNA", at positions 338 to 795 of the family's 1533-position model. Lineage: Bacteria; Pseudomonadati; Pseudomonadota; Gammaproteobacteria; Oceanospirillales; Halomonadaceae. The record is from RNAcentral.
CCUACGGGGGGCAGCAGUGGGGAAUAUUGGACAAUGGGGGCAACCCUGAUCCAGCCAUGCCGCGUGUGUGAAGAAGGCCCUCGGGUUGUAAAGCACUUUCAGUGAGGAAGAACGCCUGGUGGUUAAUACCCAUCAGGAAAGACAUCACUCACAGAAGAAGCACCGGCUAACUCCGUGCCAGCAGCCGCGGUAAUACGGAGGGUGCGAGCGUUAAUCGGAAUUACUGGGCGUAAAGCGCGCGUAGGUGGCUUGAUAAGCCGGUUGUGAAAGCCCCGGGCUCAACCUGGGAACGGCAUCCGGAACUGUCAAGCUAGAGUGCAGGAGAGGAAGGUAGAAUUCCCGGUGUAGCGGUGAAAUGCGUAGAGAUCGGGAGGAAUACCAGUGGCGAAGGCGGCCUUCUGGACUGACACUAACACUGAGGUGCGAAAGCGUGGGUAGCAAACAGGAUUAGAUACCCUAGUAGUC